GGUGCUCUUUCUACCUGGGCGCAAGCAGGUUGCACUUGAAGGGUUUUGGUGCGCCAUGCCGGUUGUGGUUGAACUGCCCUCUUCUUGUUGGUGCUGCCUCUUCUUGCGGUGCGUUCUCCUUUAUCAAACCAUGUUCCACUCGCUGUAUCGUCUGUGCCAGUGUGCCAAGCUCUCGUUUACUAUCUUGGUGCUCUCUGUGUGUAUCCUGCCAUGCGUGGACGUCGUUGCCAGAGCGCAGGCAGAAGAUGCUGCGCCAGAAAUCUUGUACGUGCGCGGCUGCCGCGACGGUGCGGCUGAGGCACGGGAGACGACCGGUUGCUUUGCGGCACGCGCCGGCGCGUCCGUAUCGUCGCCGACUGCACUGGCCCCAAUCGCGAGUGUCACGCUCUCCUUGCAGGGUGUGCACCUUCCGUCAGAGGUUCGAGACACGGACAACGGUGACUCGCAGGCGGUACUGCACCGGGUGCUACUGCAGGAGCAUCGCCGUCCACCGCUGCUUGGUCAGGAGCAGAGCGAAGCCGACACACGCCUGCUAGAGAAGAUUGUCCUGACCUGCAGCCGACCCACGGCUUCGCUGGUGUUCCCUACACAGCUGAUCUCGUGCGAGCUGGAAAACCCGCUUCUCAGCCUCGCUGGCGUGGAGAGCAUGACACCGCAGCUGUUGCGGCUGGUGAGCCAGCCGAUGUGGUUCGACGUACGUCUUGAGGAGCGACGCAGCGGCGAGGAAGCUUACCGCACCGUUACCGUACUGCGCCGUGCGGUGGAGUUGCGGGUGAGCAACACGACAAGCGCCAAAGACGAGACGGCCGCCGAGACGCCGCGGGGGCACGCAGAGAAGGUGUCAUGGGAGGAGGUGCGUCAGCACCCACUGGAGCGUCUGUACGCGCCGUUGCCCGCAUCUCAGGACCGCGCCAAGCGCGCGGACGAGCCGUACGAUGGCGACGGCGCAGCGAAUGGCGAUGAGAUGUGGGCGGAGCUCGGUAUCGGCGGCCUCAAGCGUGAGCUCCGCACACUGUUCCGCCGCGUCUUUCUCUCUCGGCUUCCGUCUUUGGCACCGCUCGCCGAAGCGUUGCAUCUGCAGCACGUGCGCGGUGUCAUUCUCUACGGACCGCCCGGGAACGGCAAAACCCUCAUUGCGCGCAACUUGUUCCGCUUGCUGGGCCCUAACACGCGCCUCUCCGUCGUGAACGCGGCGGACAUCUUGUCGAAGUUUGUCGGCGAGUCGGAAAAGAACUUGCGGGACGUGUUCGAGGGAUACGACAUCAGCACGACAUCCAAGGAGGAGACAGCGCAGCAGGAGAACGAGAGGUUUGACCGUUCGGCGCACAAGAGGAGUGACGCAACGAAGAAGGGUGCGCUGCUGGUGCUCGUGAUUGACGAGUUCGAGGCGCUCUUCCGCCGCCGCGGCCACUCUAGCGAUGAGAGCUCUGCCAAGGCAGUGUACGACGGUGUGACGAACACACUGCUGUCUCUCAUGGACGGCGUGAAGAGCCGGAACGACCUGCUGGUUGUCGGCUUGACGAAUCGGCUGCAGGCGAUCGACUCGGCGCUCCUCCGUCCUGGCCGUUUUGAGGUGCUCAUCGAGAUCCCCGCGCCGGACGUCCCUGGCCGCGAGGACAUCUUUUUCAUUCACACAGCGCGUCUGCGGGAGCAGAAUUUCCUGGCACCCGACGUGGUUCUGCGAGAUCUGGCACUGGAAAGCGGCGGUUUUUCCGGGUCUGACAUUGCCGGCACGGUGCGCUCUGCCCUGAGCUACGCGUUGCUGCGGUAUCGCAGGGAUGGGCUCUUCCAGGGCGGCCCGCAGAGCAAGGAGGCCAACGAGGGUUCUUCUGGCUUGGCAGACGCGGAGAUGAUUGGCCACCGCGCAGGCGACGUUGGCGGGCUUGAUCUGGAGGGCACAGGGGGGAGUGGCAGCAUGAGCUCAUCCGCCUCGUCGCCUUCGCUGUUCAAAGUAACGCGGGAGGACUUUGAGCACGCCUUCAAGGACAUCCGCAGUGCCAAAGAUGAGACAUCUGUGCUGUCGCAGCUCUCCGCUGACGGCGACAGGGCCAGUGCCGAGAUUGUCGACCACGAUGGCACCGUGAGCAAUAACAUCAAGAGGGCGACUGCGGUGAUUGAGCGCGUGAUGAAGAGCAACCGCACCGUGACAGGAAUGCUCGUCAUCACCGGAGCCCCAGGCACCGGUAAAUCCACCGUGGCCCGAGCCCUCACCCGCGUCUACGACUUCACAACGGUGCGCUACCUCUCCUGCCGUCGCGUGGCGCAGCUGCCCGAUCACGAGGAGCAACUGGGAAAGCUGCGGGACGCUCUCAACGACGCCUCGCACACAGAAAGUGGGAUCGUGGUCCUCGACGACUACGAUGUUCUCGUCGGCGUCAUGGGUACCGGUGGCUACGCCGGGAACACGCUGCGCAGCUUGCUGUACGAGUACAUGCACCGCUCGGGGGGCGUAAGCCGUGCCUUGGUCGCAAACUCACCGUUGGCGGUCGCUGAUGAGGCAGGAGGUAACGUGGCUAUGAACGCUGAAAGCCGUGUCUCGGCAGAUCGCAACCACCGCAUACUGGUGCUCACGUCAUCCCUAUCGUCGGUUCUACAGCAGUUUUCUUUCGAUGCGCACCUGCGCGUGCAUCCAGUGCUGCGACGCGGGGCAGAAGCCCUGCUGCAGGAGUAUCGCGUGGCAGAUCCAGUGCAAUCAGUCAAGGCGGCAGCGGCCUACCCGGUGUCGAUGAGCUACCGCACAUUUCUCCGCAUCACGGACAUGUCCCUGCAGCGGUGGGUGCAGGAGGUCGAAAACACAGCGGCUGCCAUUGGCGACUCGCAGUCGAGCGACGUGGAGUCGUCGGAGUCGACGAUGGAGUUGCCGGCAUACUUUGCCACGUCUGAUCAGAUGCGCGCCGUCUACAACGAGAUGCGCGCGAGGCAGGUGGCUGCGAACUUUUACGCGGUGGGCGACGAUGCCGCCAGUCACAGCUUUGUCCCCGCAGUGCGCACCACAGUGGCAGAUAUGGGGCUGAUUGACCCGUACCAAGGCUGGGGGGGCGAGGGUAGCGACGAUGAGGACGGCAAGGAGGCCGCGGUGGACGUAGACGAGCUUGUGGGCGCUGCGGAUGAACUACUGUGGUAGCUUCUCAUGUCGGAUGCUGAUUUUGAGAGGUUGGUGGAUGACCGUCCGCUGCGGACUUUUUUCUACCUUCUGCUCGCCCCUUCCUCCUCCUCUAGGACGGAGGGGGUGGGGGGUGGGUGGGCACCCCUCAGCGCGUCGUGUCGCAGGGCCCAGCACACACACCACUCUGUGUGUGUGUGUGUGUGUGUGUGGCUGUGGGGAAGCGAGCCAGCCCCCCAACCCCUAAACCCCUGCCAAGUGCCCCAGCCACCUCGGGUGGUGGCGGGGCCCAGCACCGACGACGUAGGGGAGGUCAGAGCGAUGUAUCGCUGCUGAUGUCGCUGGUGAGGUUGUGGAGGGCGUGGCGUCGGAGCGGCCAGCGUGGCUCGAACACAUCUCCCCCCUCUCCCUCCCCCUCCGGGCCCCUCACUCUGCCCAGCGGUGCAGGGAGCCUGCACCACUCUCAAGGAGGGUGCGGCUGUGUAGCGCUUGGGACGGAGGCCGUACCCAGAUGGCUGUGUUGGCGCAGUGCUGUACCGCUUAUGCCUACCGCUGCCUCGCGCCAGGCCAUGUGGGCCGGUGUGACGGGGCCGGGGGGUCGAAUGGAGUUGAACUAACGUUGUACUGCAGAGAAACGGGCACCGUUUCACAAGUACAUUCCUCCUCACCCUCACGAGCCUCUUCCCUGUGGGUGAGCCAAGGAGGGCGUGAGAGUGCUCCACAGGCAUGUGUGAUUGUUGAGGCAGCCUUGGUAGACAGAGGUCAAAUCGUAAUGUCGCGCGCGGCGAGUUGCCGAGAGCAAGCGAGAGAGACGCGGCGCCGCUUUUGACUGUCCCUCAUCCCGUUCACAUCAUUGACGCAUUUUCGUUUAGG
Molecule: unclassified non-coding RNA, 3976 nt
Filed under: Leishmania donovani
Lineage: Eukaryota; Euglenozoa; Kinetoplastea; Trypanosomatida; Trypanosomatidae
Description: gene:LdHU3.27.1540(CDS-product:vesicular-fusion_A TPase-like_protein_putative)
Source: RNAcentral